CGGCUAACUGGUGAGUAUCGCGUGAGUAACCUGCCUUACACUAGGGGAUAGCCUUUGGAAACGAAGAAUAUUACCCUAUGAUGUCAACAUCUCGCUUGGUAAGUUGACUUAAGCUUCCGCGGUGUACGAUGGACUCGCGUCUGAUUAUCUUGUUGGUGAGAUAAAGGCCCACCAAGGCAAUGAUCAGUAUUCGGUUUGAGAGAGUGUCCGGCCACAUUGGAACUGAGACACGGUCCAAACUCCUACGGGAGGCAGCAGUGGGGAAUUUUGCACAAUGGAGGAAACUCUGAUGCAGCGACGCCGCGUGAUUUAGAAGGUCUUCGGAUCGUAAGAAUCUUUUCUACGGGAUGAAAAUGACAGUACCGUAUGAAUAAGGUCCGGCUAAUUACGUGCCAGCAGCCGCGGUAAUACGUAAGGACCAAGCGUUGUCCGGAAUCAUUGGGCGUAAA
This 449-nucleotide ribosomal RNA is filed under the name uncultured bacterium. Its description in RNAcentral is "bacterial SSU rRNA". It matches the Rfam family "Bacterial small subunit ribosomal RNA", at positions 96 to 564 of the family's 1533-position model. The record is from RNAcentral.